UCCGAGUUGACCCCGGCAGUCUCCUAUGAGUCCCCGCCAUAACGCGCUGGCAACAUAGAACGAGGGUUGCGCUCGUUGCGGGACUUAACCCAACAUCUCACGACACGAGCUGACGACAACCAUGCACCACCUGUGUAGGGCCCCGAAGGACACCGUAUCUCUACGGCUUUUCCCUACAUGUCAAGCCCAGGUAAGGUUCUUCGCGUUGCAUCGAAUUAAUCCACAUGCUCCGCCGCUUGUGCGGGCCCCCGUCAAUUCCUUUGAGUUUCAACCUUGCGGCCGUACUCCCCAGGCGGGAUACUUACUCCGUUAGGUGCGGCACCGGCGGUAACCCGCCGACACUUAGUAUCCAUCGUUUAGGGCGUGGACUAC
This 372-nucleotide unclassified non-coding RNA is filed under the name uncultured bacterium. RNAcentral describes it as "contains 16S-23S intergenic spacer region". The record is from RNAcentral.